Molecule: long non-coding RNA, 960 nt
Organism: Chelonus insularis
Lineage: Eukaryota; Metazoa; Arthropoda; Insecta; Hymenoptera; Braconidae
Exons: 3
Source: RefSeq, a predicted model, not a curated record
GCCGGACGGACCUGAUCGUGUUAUUGGGUAAUUGGCUAUCGGAUCGGAUACCCGAUCGUUGGCAAGACCAUUGAGCUCAGCUGAGUUAAACAUAAUCGCGACACCUUGUCAGUAUAAAGUAUAUAUACCAUACCAUACAUGUAUUAUACGUUCACUUCAAAUUACAUGAACGCGAGCUCGAUAAUUAUUAUCUUUAACAAAUAUGUACUUUGCUGUGGUAAAGACUCGACCUAUCGAUACAUCAUUUUUACUUAUCUUCCCCUUCUAUUUCUAUCUCAUCUGCGGUUAUAUUCAAUCAGUUUUUGUAUGUAAUAAAAACAAUAAUAAUAAGGGAAAAGACCGCACGAUUUGCUCGACAUUAAAAAUCAAUUUAGGUUAGGUAAACAUCAGUUGGAGUAUUGAUUCCAAAUUUUGAUUAACUUGGACCUAAAGAAGCAUCAUCACUUGUUCAACUUUCUCAGGGGCUAUCAGUGCGUAUAAAAUCGACCAAGAAAAACGCUCAAGGAGGCACGUGCCUUGAAGGUUUAAAAGAUGAAGGAUUAGAGGUGCAAAGAUCACUUCGACAUCAACUAAAAGUGAACAACUUCUUCUCAGUAAUCAAAGUAUUUCCUCUUGUUGACUACUGAAACUAAACCAAACUAUGUGCUCAAGCAGGUGCACAAGUUUUCCACGAGUGUGGAAAGCUUUCAUCAAAGAUAAAGAAACGAGCCUUUAAAAGGGAUUAUGACCUUUAAUCUUAAUUAUAGUGGAGUUAAUUAUGACUUUGUGAAUUUGAAUGAGAUAUUUUAUGUCUUUUUUUUUUGCUGACAAAUGUUUUAUCAUUUUUUAUAUCAAUUGAGAUAAUGAGAAAUUAGGAUUUUUUUUUUUCUAUUUUAAGACUGAUGAAGAUUAGUCUAGCAUUAUUCUUUUAGCUUAUUAGAGUUGUUUUGAAAAUAAUUCUAAGAUAAAUAAGUCAUUAAA